Molecule: long non-coding RNA, 2565 nt
Filed under: Mytilus galloprovincialis (Mediterranean mussel)
Lineage: Eukaryota; Metazoa; Mollusca; Bivalvia; Mytilida; Mytilidae
Source: RNAcentral
GUUUCUGUUAUGUUUUAUUCAAAUAUAUAAGCUGUAGAUAAAUAACAAAAUGAUUUGUAUAACAAAUACAGGAAUGAGACAAGUGACAAUCAUAAUGAUAAACCAUAUAUAAUAAGUUACUACUAUAAAAUCUACAUAUUAAAUAUACACUUGAGACAUGAAUUAAUGAGUAUUGUUCAAUGGCAUUUUAGCUUCAUGGUUUUUCCACCAUAAACAACCUUGCAUUUUUGCUUUUUUUGGUUUGUUUUUUUAAAUAUGUGUCAUAAAUUAUAAUGAUCAAAAUUGUCUUCAAUACAUAAAUAAGCAGUUUUAAGCUUAAAAUACAUAAAUAUCAGAACCAGACAAUUAAAAAAAAAGUAAAACUAAUUGUUUUACCUAUUGUGGUACCAUGGUACAUUGAAACAACCUAAUUCAAUCAUAUUUUUUACUCCAAAAAAAAAAGGAUUUGACAUUAUUUGUACCUUGCAUGGUCAAGAAAAAUAUGUAAAAUGAAUUGUGAUGACAAAAUUUGACAAAUGAAACUUGAAUAAACUUAUUCUGAUUUUACAUGUUAUUACAGACAGAUCAAUAUUCUCUUACAACCAAAUUUAUUUAGUCAUCAUUAGUAAAUUAAAUCAUAUACACAAAUUCUUAUAAAUUUUAUAAAAUCCAAUGUUUAAUGACUGUUAAAUUAUGCUGUACAACCUAUUUACAAAGUGGACUUACAAAAAUUUAAUUGAGCUUUUUGGUAAGUAUAUUUAUUGUCCUAUUUUAUCACCCAAUAUUGAUAUUAUAAACAAUACCACAUCUUGCCAAAUAUCUUUGCUAUUUUGAUAUGUUUAUCUGUUGAGUGAAAUAUGAAUUAGUAAAAGCUUCUCAGGGUAAUAUUGCUGUGACUAGAUUUCAUAGUAUCUACAAUGUAUCAGGAGACUAGAUUAUCAGUAAAUCUUGUUAUAAGAAAACAAUAAAUAAUUAACAAGGGGUAGAUUCAAGAGAAGGGGAGGAGGGGACAGUUUGUGUCCCCUUAAUUCAGCUAACAUGAAAAGAAAACAAUUUCAGCUGCAUUGUUUCCAAGAAAUAUAUACUGUGUAUAUAUGUCUCUGAUUAUUCCCUUGCCUAUGUUGUGCCCACUAACCUAAUGUGCCAGCACACUAUAUAUGAAAAGUUGAUUAUUACCAGUACAAAUAUAUAACAAUAAUUAAUUCUAAAAAAAAUACAUUUCGAGAAUUGAAGAAUGUACCGUAAGUCUGACUGUUGGAGGGAGAACAAAUUCAGUGGACGACAUAGAUCCAGUGAUAUCAAAUUUAAAUGUCUACUUUAAUUAUUUUUAAGUUGGGCACCCUACUACACAUCAACAGGAUCAUAAUAUUGCACAUGUUGUCUUAUAUAAAAAAAAGUCUGUAUCACAUGCUUAUUCUAAAUCAUUUUGCUCAUAAUAAUUGCAUACAAAAUGUAUUGCAACAAUUUCCUUUUAUCCUUUAAAGAAAUAGUUUUUAGAGAAUGGUCGAUUGGAAUAAUCUUCUUAAAAAAUUCAUCAUUCUCUUUCAAAAUUUCAUUUUAUUUACCUUAGAACAAUUUCCCCCAAUAACAUCUGCAAAAAAUUAUUCAAAACGUCAUAGUUCUUAUAAUGAGUUUCAUCUGUAUUCUUUGGUAUUAAAAUACCAAAUAUCAUUGGUUUGACCCAGAAAGCAUUAGAACCUACAACCUCCCGUACUUCAGGUGGACAUGCUACGUACACAAGACUAUUGAGGGGGUGAAAAAAAAGAAAAUCUAAAUAUAAGUGUCUAUUUACCUUAAAUUUUUCAUAAACACACUAUACUAUGAAAACUUAACAACUUUUUGAACAAUGUAAAAAUACUAAAUUCACUCAAUAUGAUAAAGUUGAUGAUUCUUAUUAACUGCAUUUGUCUAAAAGAGCACUAACUUCACAUUUCAUCAUCAAUUAUUCUAAUUAAAACUUUUACAUAAUGAAAGUUGUUGACUAUGGCAGGACAAGAAAUCAGGGUAGUCUCCUAUUAAGUGAGACGAAAAUGAGUAUGCAGUUACUUAGACAAUGUAAAAAGCCUAAAAUAACUGUAAAAGCAUGGUCUAGGGGAGGUAAGCAUACACAGCUUGCAACUAAAUACUAUUUAGGUACCUUUUUUUUCAAAGCCAUCCAAAUAUUCACCAUAAAUGAUAUGGCUACAUUUUACACUUUGACAACAAAAAUAGUACACUCAUGAAUUUUGUCUACUUUUAACUUCUUUCUCUUAGGAAAUUUCAAUUAUAUAUAAUGAAGUAUGAUGCAUAUUUUAUAGUGCCAAUUCUUGUAAAGUCUGUAGUCAAGUUUAAUUGGAAAGAACUAACUAUAAAAAUAAUGCUUUAAUAUAUAAGUAAUAAUAAAAAAAAGGUUAAUAAAAAUGUACAACAUUUUUUAUCACAUCAGCAAUAAUACAAAAAUUCAAUAAUGAUCCGAUACUAUCAAGUAUCUUACAUGGCAGUUUAUACACAACUUCCCGAUUUGUACCGAAGAACUUUCUAAGGAAAAAAUAUAAACAUUUGAAUCUGCAUAUUAUUUCCUAAAAAGAGACACUGACAAAAUAUCUU